GUCUAGUAUGGCGGUGCGUGGUUUUAGAGCUAGAAAUAGCAAGUUAAAAUAAGGCUAGUCCGUUAUCAACUUGAAAAAGUGGCACCGAGUCGGUGCU
This 97-nucleotide small RNA is filed under the name Cloning vector pLGS1. RNAcentral describes it as "LGS1-CR2 gRNA". The record is from RNAcentral.